This is a long non-coding RNA of Macrobrachium nipponense, 832 nucleotides long. RefSeq lists it as uncharacterized. The transcript has 2 exons. The record is from RefSeq and is a predicted model, not a curated record. NCBI's taxonomy places the organism in Eukaryota, Metazoa, Arthropoda, Malacostraca, Decapoda, Palaemonidae.
CUCAAAAUUUGUUUAUGAAUGAUCUAGUUUAGUGGCUCGUGGUUUCCCCGGCCUGUAAAUAUUUUUAUGCUAAUUUUUUCCUGAUUCUUCAGAAUUUAUUUUUUGUAUGCAAAUUUUUUUGUAAUUUUCUUUCUUGUUAAAAAUUUGCAUCCCUUUUGGUGGAGUGUACAAAAUAUUAGUUAUAUUUUCUUUUUUCUAACUUUAAAUUUUAAGUUGUUCUACAAAAAUAAUAUGAGCAAUAUAAAGUUUCUUAUUUUUUCUAAAUAGGUGGUUUCAGUUAACUUCAUUAAAGGCCAUUAUUACCUUACAAUAGCUGUAAUGCCUUUUAGCUCCCCGAACCAGCUAGUUUAACUAGUUACUGCCGAAGAAUUGCCUUUUUACAGAACAGUGCUGGGAUCUUCGGGAGAGAUGGAAGUUUUUCUUUUCUUGAGAGCUACGUAGUUCAAGCAGUGGCAGACCAGACUCGGUCCUAAGCAUUUUUUGAAGGUAUCAGCCCUUUUGAGCAGGACUGAUUUCGCCGCCGCUGGGAUUAUUUAUGUUAUUUGGCAACACUUGAGAUGAUUUACCGAGAGUAAAUAGUUCAUGGGACCCACAUCAGGACGGAGACUUUAUUGCAUAACAUCGCAUACGGACAGCUUGCCGGUGGAUAUAAGAUGCAGGUGACGCGGAAUGGUCCGUUUCUGGGUGCACUUUUUAUAACAUCCUUAAUUUGGAAGUGCAACGGAUGUCUCCCUUAUUGUUUUCGUUCCAAUACCAAGACGAAGUGUACAUUGGGGAGCUUAUUUGUUGAGGUGCUGAAGCGAUGUAUCACAAAAUAUAGGUUAUUCUUUUA